AUGUACUGAGUUGGGUCGGGAGGUUACUGGGUAGCCUCAGCAACAUUUGAUGCAGCAAAUGAAUACAAGUUUAAGCGGUGGUGCAGGGUGUAAGGUGGGGUCAUUGGGUUUAAGAGGUGGACGUCGGGUGGAGGGAGCGGCCAUUACGGGUGCUGCCGUUGGCGGCGGUGGAAGUGGGUAGAUUGAAUCUUUGAUGAUUGUGUGCAAACCGCAUAUGAAAAUGAUCAAAUCUUUGAUGGUGUUGUGAAAACCCCUGUUGAAAAGAUUGAAUAUUUGAUGGUUGUUAUGAAAAUCCCAGUUGAGAAAACAGGGUUUUGGUGAUUGGGUAAUGGUGAUCUUGAAACACGAUUUGGAGAUUAUAAGAACAACACCAACUGUUUGUGUGUGUAAAUUGGGAGUAGAUAUAGGUGUAUUAGUAUGCGAGGAUUUGAGAUAGGAAUAAAAUUGAUCUAAAAUUACUAAAUUAGUGAAUAUAAUAGAAUAGAUCUGGGUGAUGGCUAGUAAUGGUUUUUGACAGUGGUGGUUGUGAAUUGGUGAUGAUUGUUGGUGGCGAACGGUAGAGAGAGGGGUGGUGGGUGGCGGUUGUUUGUGGUGGUUGAUGGUGGAC
Molecule: long non-coding RNA, 607 nt
Filed under: Helianthus annuus (common sunflower)
Lineage: Eukaryota; Viridiplantae; Streptophyta; Magnoliopsida; Asterales; Asteraceae
Description: hypothetical non coding rna
Source: RNAcentral